This 251-nucleotide ribosomal RNA is filed under the name uncultured prokaryote. RNAcentral's name for it is "partial 16S ribosomal RNA". It matches the Rfam family "Bacterial small subunit ribosomal RNA", at positions 524 to 774 of the family's 1533-position model. The record is from RNAcentral.
UACGGAGGAUGCAAGCGUUAUCCGGAUUCAUUGGGUUUAAAGGGUGCGUAGGCGGGCUAUUAAGUCAGUGGUGAAAUCCUGCAGCUUAACUGCAGAACUGCCGUUGAUACUGAUAGUCUUGAGUUUGGUUAAGGUAGGCGGAAUGUGUAAUGUAGCGGUGAAAUGCUUAGAUAUUACACAGAACACCAAUUGCGUAUGCAGCUUACUGAGCCGACACUGACGCUGAGGCACGAAAGCGUGGGGAUCAAACA